Molecule: long non-coding RNA, 425 nt
Organism: Oncorhynchus tshawytscha (Chinook salmon)
Lineage: Eukaryota; Metazoa; Chordata; Actinopteri; Salmoniformes; Salmonidae
Source: Ensembl
GGUGUUGGAUCCUUUAGGGUUAAAGUAGUGGGAUGGUGUAGGAUCCUUUAGGGUUAAAGUAGUGGGAUGGUGUAGGAUCCUUUAGGGUUAAAGUAGUGGGAUGGUGUAGGAUCCUUUAGGGUUAAAGUAGUGGGAUGGUGUUGGAUCCUUUAGGGUUAAAGUAGUGGGAUGGUGUUGGAUCCUUUAGGGUUAAAGUAGUGGGAUGGUGUUGGAUCCUUUAGGGUUAAAGUAGUGGGAUGGUGUAGGAUCCUUUAGGGUUAAAGUAGUGGGCUGGGAUGGUGUAGGAUCCUUUAGGGUUAAAGUAGUGGGCUGGGAUGGUGUAGGAUCCUUUAGGGUUAAAGUAGUGGGAUGGUGUAGGAUCCUUUAGGGUUAAAGUAGUGGGAUGGUGUAGAAUCCUUUAGGGUUAAAGUAGUGGGAUGGUGUUG